CAAUCAGCAGCCAAACUACACGGCGCGCAAUGAGUUCGAUGGUUGUUUCUGCCCCUCAGCCGAUAAUAAGUACAAUCGUUACUUUACUUUUGCUGUGUAAUUGUUGCUAUUGCUGUUGCUGUUGUUGCUGUUGUUGGUGUUGUUGCGUUUUUGAAAAGGUGAUAUGAAAUGUGCUCUGAUAAGUUUUAAUCAAGAAUAUUUUACUCGUAUUGCUUUGGGUGGCUCUCUGGGCCGAGUAGCAUUUGAAAAGUUGUAGUAGUAGGUCGAAGCGCGGAUGCGGGUCCGGUCCGUAUCGAUACACUCCUGUUUUCCGUUUACCUUUUUACCGUUUUCCCGGUGACCCCGGUAAGAUCCCAACCGUAAGGCGGUGGGCAGUGCCCGGCGAUAAUCACAGUGAUUUUCCGGAAACCAUUUCUCUGGGCGUGCAACCAAAGAAACCCCUUUUAUCGCAUCUAACAGGAAAAAAAAAAGAAGAAAGAAGAAAAAUGUUGCGCCGGCGCAUGGAAAAUCCUUUAAAUAUGUUUAACCACAAAAGCGACGUGAGUCUAACCAAGACAAAUCGGGCAACGGAUUGCGAGGCGCCUUGGGAAAGUCCUCCUGCCCCUCGGGAAAGAGUUGUAAUCCGUCGGCGUGACCUGUGUGACACUUUCAUUUGGCGGGUGAACGCCCACUCAUAAUCCGGUCAGUAUCGAAAUUGUACAGUAUGAGUACUAUGUGAGAUCGGAUAACCAGAUGCCCAGAUGAUCCUCGUUCCCCGAUGCCCGGGGUUCGGUCAUCAUCGAUGCCAACCACAUGUGCCAAACGCCCCUCAUAAUGACCGCAUCUGAUCUGAGCGAGAAAUUUGAAAACCGCCCGAAAUUCUCCCGAAUCAAUAUUUCUACACAUUUCUGGUCAUUGUGGGAAUAUCGGAAAGAUUCCGUCUGGACCAAUUCAUUUUGAGCUCGCUGGCAACAGGCAGCCAACCACAACAACACCAAUCGAGCAACAGUCUGGACAACAACAGCAACACCACCAACAUCAGUGGCAGCAACAACAAUGUGCCGGCAUGGCCUCCGCUUCGACCUGCCCCCCCACCCGAUCGAUCAUUGUUGUUGUUGCAGCUUUAGUGAGAGGCGUAGCUAAAAACAGGCAACAGACAUUGGCGAGAACGAGAGCCAGCGAACAGGCAGCAGCAGCAAUGGGUGAACGCAAUAUGUGCGAUAAGGUCGGCAGCAACAGCAACAGCAGCAGCACCACCAGCAACACCACCAGAAGCAGUGGCGAAGGAAGAGCGAGAGGGCUCCAAGGCCCCAACGAGAGAGGCGCCAGAGAGAGGCCGAAAGCCGGAGAGGAAAGUGCAAGCUUGGGGAGCAAACUGAAGCUGUACAAGAUCGAUUGAGUGGCGUUCGUCUAACGGCAUGUGGAGCAAAAAAAAAAAA
Molecule: unclassified non-coding RNA, 1418 nt
Filed under: Drosophila ananassae
Lineage: Eukaryota; Metazoa; Arthropoda; Insecta; Diptera; Drosophilidae
Description: GF11846
Source: RNAcentral